This 253-nucleotide ribosomal RNA is filed under the name uncultured bacterium. RNAcentral's name for it is "partial 16S ribosomal RNA". It matches the Rfam family "Bacterial small subunit ribosomal RNA", at positions 524 to 776 of the family's 1533-position model. The record is from RNAcentral.
UACAUGGGGUGCAAACGUUGCUCGGAAUCAUUGGGUGUAAAGCGCGCGUAGGCGGUUACUUAAGUUGGAUGUGAAAGCCCUCGGCUUAACUGAGGAAGUGCAUCCAAAACUGAGUAGCUAGAGUACGAAAGAGGGUCGCGGAAUUCCCGGUGUAGAGGUGAAAUUCGUAGAUAUCGGGAGGAACACCGGUGGCGAAGGCGGCGACCUGGGUCGAGACUGACGCUGAGGCGCGAAAGCGUGGGGAGCAAACAGG